CCUACGGGUGGCAGCAGUGAGGAAUAUUGGUCAAUGGGCGUAAGCCUGAACCAGCCAAGUCGCGUGAGGGAUGAAGGUUCUAUGGAUCGUAAACCUCUUUUAUAAGGGAAUAAAGUGUGGGACGUGUCCUAUUUUGUAUGUACCUUAUGAAUAAGGAUCGGCUAACUCCGUGCCAGCAGCCGCGGUAAUACGGAGGAUCCGAGCGUUAUCCGGAUUUAUUGGGUUUAAAGGGUGCGUAGGCGGGCUUUUAAGUCAGCGGUGAAAGUUUGUGGCUCAACCAUAGAAUUGCCGUUGAUACUGGUGGGCUUGAGUAUGUUUGAGGCAGGCGGAAUGCGUGGUGUAGCGGUGAAAUGCUUAGAUAUCACGAAGAACCCCGAUUGCGAAGGCAGCCUGCCAAGCUGUGACUGACACUGAUGCACGAAAGCGUGGGGAUCAAACGGGAUUAGAUACCCUUGUAGUC
This 460-nucleotide ribosomal RNA is filed under the name uncultured bacterium. Its description in RNAcentral is "partial 16S ribosomal RNA". It matches the Rfam family "Bacterial small subunit ribosomal RNA", at positions 338 to 795 of the family's 1533-position model. The record is from RNAcentral.